RNAcentral lists this ribosomal RNA (460 nucleotides) under uncultured bacterium. Its description in RNAcentral is "partial 16S ribosomal RNA". It matches the Rfam family "Bacterial small subunit ribosomal RNA", at positions 338 to 795 of the family's 1533-position model. The record is from RNAcentral.
CCUACGGGAGGCAGCAGUGAGGAAUAUUGGUCAAUGGACGGAAGUCUGAACCAGCCAUGCCGCGUGCAGGAAGAUGGCUUUAUGAGUUUUAAAUUGUUUUUUUACAAGGCUAAACCUGUAUACUUGUAUUCAACGGAAAUUACGUUACGAUUAAGGACCGGUAAAUUCCGUGCCACCAGCCGCGGUAAUACGGAGGAUCCAAGCGUUAUCCGGCUUUUUUGGGUUUAAGGGGUGCGUAGGCGGAUGGAUAAGUUGGAGUUGAAAGGUCCGGGCUUACGUCGGGAACUGCCUUUAAUACUGUUGAUCUAGAAUGUAGAUGCGGUAGGCGGAAUGUAUGGUGUAGCGGUGAAAUGCUUAGAGAUCAUACAGAACACCGAUUGCGAAGGCAGCUUACGAAUCUAUAUCUGACGUUGAGGCACGAAAGCGUGGGGAGCAAACAGGAUUAGAUACCCCAGUAGUC